AGCAGCCGCGGUAAUUCCAGCUCCAAUAGCGUAUAUUAAAGUUGUUGCAGUUAAAAAGCUCGUAGUUGAAUUUUGGGUUUGGCCAAUUGGUCCGUUCUUGUAACGAGUACUGGUUGGUUGGGCCUCACCGCCUGGUGAUACGUAAUGUCCUUUAUUGGGUGUUGCGAGUAGCCAGGACCUUUACCUUGAAAAAACUAGAGUGUUUAAAGCAGGCUUAUGCCGGAAUACAUUAGCAUGGAAUAAUAGAAUAGGACGAUGAUUCUAUUUUGUUGGUUUCUAGGAGCAUCGUAAUGAUUAAUAGGGAUAGUUGGGGGCAUUAGUAUUCAAUUGUCAGAGGUGAAAUUCUUGGAUUUAUUGAAGACUAACUACUGCGAAAGCAUUUGCCAAGGAUGUUUUCAUUAAUCAAGAACGAAAGUUAGGGGAUCGAAGACGAUCAGAUACCGUCGUAGUCUUAACCAUAAACUAUGCCGACUAGGGAUCGGGCGAUGUUGUUUCAAUGACUCG
This 504-nucleotide ribosomal RNA is filed under the name uncultured Archaeosporaceae. RNAcentral describes it as "SSU rRNA". It matches the Rfam family "Eukaryotic small subunit ribosomal RNA", at positions 569 to 1078 of the family's 1831-position model. Lineage: Eukaryota; Fungi; Glomeromycota; Glomeromycetes; Archaeosporales; Archaeosporaceae. The record is from RNAcentral.